GGUGUGCGUAAUUUAAAGAAAAUAUCAAGCUGUGACCUUGAAAAUAGAUUAACCUCGCACACC
Molecule: transfer RNA, 63 nt
Filed under: Crotalus atrox (western diamondback rattlesnake)
Lineage: Eukaryota; Metazoa; Chordata; Lepidosauria; Squamata; Viperidae
Description: tRNA-His
Source: RNAcentral